GGGCCUCUAGCUCAGCCAGGUAGAGCACUGGUGUUUGUCGCGAAUUCUCGCGCGAACUGGUGAGACUUUUAAUCCAGGGGUCUGGGGUCCGAAUCCCCAGAGGCCCG
This 107-nucleotide transfer RNA is filed under the name Nitrososphaerota archaeon. RNAcentral's name for it is "tRNA-Lys". It matches the Rfam family "tRNA". Rfam says of the family: Transfer RNA (tRNA) molecules are approximately 80 nucleotides in length. Their secondary structure includes four short double-helical elements and three loops (D, anti-codon, and T loops). Further hydrogen bonds mediate the characteristic L-shaped molecular structure. tRNAs have two regions of fundamental functional importance: the anti-codon, which is responsible for specific mRNA codon recognition, and the 3' end, to which the tRNAs corresponding amino acid is attached (by aminoacyl-tRNA synthetases). tRNAs cope with the degeneracy of the genetic code in two manners: having more than one tRNA (with a specific anti-codon) for a particular amino acid; and 'wobble' base-pairing, i.e. permitting non-standard base-pairing at the 3rd anti-codon position. The record is from RNAcentral. Lineage: Archaea; Thermoproteati; Nitrososphaerota.